GAUGAACGCUGGCGGCGUGCCUAAUACAUGCAAGUCGAGCGAACGGACGAGAAGCUUGCUUCUCUGAUGUUAGCGGCGGACGGGUGAGUAACACGUGGAUAACCUACCUAUAAGACUGGGAUAACUUCGGGAAACCGGAGCUAAUACCGGAUAAUAUUUUCAACCGCAUGGUUCAAAAGUGAAAGACGGUCUUGCUGUCACUUAUAGAUGGAUCCGCGCUGCAUUAGCUAGUUGGUAAGGUAACGGCUUACCAAGGCAACGAUGCAUAGCCGACCUGAGAGGGUGAUCGGCCACACUGGAGCUGAGACGCGGUCCAGACUCCUACGGGAGGCAGCAGUAGGGAAUCUUCCGCAAUGGGCGAAAGCCUGACGGAGCAACGCCGCGUGAGUGAUGAAGGUCUUCGGGUCGUAAAACUCUGUUAUUAGGGAAGAACAUAUGUGUAAGUAACUGUGCACGUCUUGACGGUACCUAAUCAGAAAGCCACGGCUAACUACGUG
This 497-nucleotide ribosomal RNA is filed under the name uncultured bacterium. RNAcentral's name for it is "partial 16S ribosomal RNA". It matches the Rfam family "Bacterial small subunit ribosomal RNA", at positions 28 to 507 of the family's 1533-position model. The record is from RNAcentral.